AAAUUGAAGAGUUUGAUCAUGGCUCAGAUUGAACGCUGGCGGCAGGCCUAACACAUGCAAGUCGAACGGUAACAGGAAACAGCUUGCUGUUUCGCUGACGAGUGGCGGACGGGUGAGUAAUGUCUGGGAAACUGCCUGAUGGAGGGGGAUAACUACUGGAAACGGUAGCUAAUACCGCAUAACGUCGCAAGACCAAAGAGGGGGACCUUCGGGCCUCUUGCCAUCGGAUGUGCCCAGAUGGGAUUAGCUAGUAGGUGGGGUAACGGCUCACCUAGGCGACGAUCCCUAGCUGGUCUGAGAGGAUGACCAGCCACACUGGAACUGAGACACGGUCCAGACUCCUACGGGAG
This 350-nucleotide ribosomal RNA is filed under the name Escherichia coli. RNAcentral describes it as "bacterial SSU rRNA". It matches the Rfam family "Bacterial small subunit ribosomal RNA", at positions 1 to 347 of the family's 1533-position model. Lineage: Bacteria; Pseudomonadati; Pseudomonadota; Gammaproteobacteria; Enterobacterales; Enterobacteriaceae. The record is from RNAcentral. RNAcentral also lists the same sequence under 3 other names.